Molecule: ribosomal RNA, 754 nt
Filed under: Anoxybacillus sp. enrichment culture clone RTC19
Lineage: Bacteria; Bacillati; Bacillota; Bacilli; Caryophanales; Anoxybacillaceae
Description: bacterial SSU rRNA
Rfam family: Bacterial small subunit ribosomal RNA
Source: RNAcentral
GGGUUUGAUCCUGGCUCAGGACGAACGCUGGCGGCGUGCCUAAUACAUGCAAGUCGAGCGGACCGAAAAGGAGCUUGCUUCGAUUCGGUUAGCGGCGGACGGGUGAGUAACACGUGGGCAACCUGCCCGUAAGACCGGGAUAACUUCGGGAAACCGGAGCUAAUACCGGAUAACACCGAAGACCGCAUGGUCUUUGGUUGAAAGGCGGCUUAGGCUGUCACUUACGGGUGGGCCCGCGGCGCAUUAGCUAGUUGGUGAGGUAACGGCUCACCAAGGCGACGAUGCGUAGCCGACCUGAGAGGGUGAUCGGCCACACUGGGACUGAGACACGGCCCAGACUCCUACGGGAGGCAGCAGUAGGGAAUCUUCCGCAAUGGACGAAAGUCUGACGGAGCAACGCCGCGUGAGCGAAGAAGGUCUUCGGAUUGUAAAGCUCUGUUGUUAGGGAAGAACAAGUACCGCAGUAACUGGCGGUACCUUGACGGUACCUAACGAGAAAGCCACGGCUAACUACGUGCCAGCAGCCGCGGUAAUACGUAGGUGGCAAGCGUUGUUCGGAUUUACUGGGCGUACAGGGUGCGUAGGCGGUUCGGUAAGCCCUUCGGGAAAGCUCCGGGCUUAACCCGGAAAGGUCGGAGGGGACUGCCGAGCUAGAGGACGGGAGAGGAGCGCGGAAUUCCCGGUGUAGCGGUGAAAUGCGUAGAGAUCGGGAGGAAGGCCGGUGGCGAAGGCGGCGCUCUGGAACGUUUCUGAC